RNAcentral lists this long non-coding RNA (305 nucleotides) under Ananas comosus (pineapple). RNAcentral describes it as "long non-coding RNA (ACOM_LNC005875)". The record is from RNAcentral. Lineage: Eukaryota; Viridiplantae; Streptophyta; Magnoliopsida; Poales; Bromeliaceae.
AGAGAGAGAGAGAGAGAAAGAGAGAGAUGAGCUGAAAUGCCAUCGAUAGCAGACGGACUUCAUUACUACUCAUUUGCUUUCGAUGAUGGAACCUCCAAAUCGACAAUCGGCACCAUUGAAUAUAAUGUAUACUACUUGAAGUAUCCAGAAACCAAAUUUCAAAUCUUUUCAACAUAAUUAGCCUAAUAAUCAAAGGGUUUCAAAAUUUAUAAUUAUAGCGGUCGAUAUAAGAUUUUUUUUCGUUUAACGGAAUAAAGAUAUCCAAAUAAAUUGAAUUUUGGUUAGAAUUUAAUUAGUUAGAAAAA